GACGAACCGUCCUAACGUUGUUCGGAAUCACUGGGCUUAAAGGGCGCGUAGGCGGGCGAUCAAGUCAGGGGUGAAAUCUUUCGGCUUAACCGGAAAAUAGCUUCUGAUACUGAUUGUCUUGAGGGAGGUAGGGGUUGCUGGAACUUCUGGUGGAGCGGUGAAAUGCGUUGAUAUCAGAAGGAACGCCGGUGGCGAAAGCGAGCAACUGGAUCUCUUCUGACGCUGAGGCGCGAAAGCUAGGGUAGCGAACGGG
RNAcentral lists this ribosomal RNA (253 nucleotides) under uncultured bacterium. Its description in RNAcentral is "partial 16S ribosomal RNA". It matches the Rfam family "Bacterial small subunit ribosomal RNA", at positions 524 to 776 of the family's 1533-position model. The record is from RNAcentral.